GGUAGCGCCGCACCGCCCCUCGGGCCGCGGGCGGGGCGGGCUGGCGCAGCGGCCGGAGCCGGGGCGGCGGCGCUGCUGCUGCUGCUGCCGGGCGGCGGCUGGCCGUGCGGCAGGAUGGUGUUUGAGUCCCUGGUCGUGGACGUCCUGAACCGUUUCCUUGGCGACUACGUGGUGAACCUGGACAGCUCCCAGCUGAAGCUGGGCAUCUGGGGAGGAGCUGUAGCACUGAAAAAUCUGGAAAUAAAAGAAAAUGCACUGAGUCAGCUGGAUGUGCCAUUUAAAGUUAAAGCAGGACAUAUUAGUCAACUUAACCUACAGAUUCCAUGGCAAAACCUUUAUACUCAACCUGUUGAGGCAGUCCUUGAUGGAGUUUAUUUGCUUAUUGUGCCCACAGCCAGCAUAAAAUAUGAUGCUGAAAAAGAAGCCAGGCAGCUCUUGGAAGCAAGACAAAGGGAAUUGCAGAGAAUAGAAGAAGCAAAGCAGAAGAUAGCUGACAAAGAUAAAGUAAAAGAAGAGAAACAAGACACUUUUGUAGAAAAGCUAGUAACUCAGGUCAUCAAAAAUCUUCAGCUGAAGAUUUCUAACAUCCAUAUUCGCUAUGAAGAUGAUAUCACAAAUCGUGACAACCCCUUGUCAUUUGGGAUUUCACUUCAGAAUCUAAGUUUGCAGACCUCAGAUAAGAAUUGGAAUCCAUGCUUACAUGAUGAAACUGCCAAGUUGUUCCACAAGCUUGUGCGACUGGAUAACCUUUUCGCUUAUUGGAAUGUGAAAUCAGAGAUGUUCUACCAUGGUGGUUGGGAUGAAUCAUUGGUUAACUUAAAACAUGGAGUUGCCAGCCACAACAUGAUUCCAGACGGUUAUGAUUUUGUAUUCCGCCCAAUUUCAGCUAAAGCCAAGCUCCUUAUGAAUCCUCGAUCUGAUGUUGACUUUUCAUCACCGAAAAUAGAUCUGGAUGUAAACUUACAGGAUAUAACUGUUGAAUUCAAUAAGCCACAGUACUUCAGUGUUAUGGAACUUCUUGAGUCUGUUGAUAUGAUGACUCGAAAUCUGCCAUAUAGGAAGUACAGACCUGAUAUUCCAGUGCACGGCAACCCCAGGAGAUGGUGGCAAUAUGCUAUUGGUGGCAUCCUUGGAGUAAAUGUUCAACCUAAGCUCCAAAUGUGGUCUUGGGAACAUAUUUCACAUCAUAGGAAGCAAGUGAAGAGCUAUAAAGAGUUGUAUAAAACAAAGAUAACAUCAAAAAAACCUAGUGAAGAAAUCUUAAAAUUGUUGGAGGAAUUUGAAAAGUCCUUGGAUAUUUUUAAUAUCACUUUAGCAAGGCAACAAGCAGAAGUUGAGGCAACUAAGGCUGGAUUGAAAAUCUACAGGCCAGGAGUAAAACAAGAUGCUGAAAAUUCUGGUGGCUGGUUUAGCUGGAUAUGGAGCUGGUCGGGUCAAAAAAGUGAUGAACAAAAACAAGAAGUAAAGGGUUCAAGUCUUGAACAACUGAUGACACAGGAAGAGAAGGCUAAACUUUAUGCAGCAAUUGGAUAUAGUGAAACAGCUGUGGAUCCAACCCUUCCAAAAUCAUAUGAAGCCAUGAAGUUCUCUGUGAACUUAUUAAGCAUGUCGAUAUCAAUAAGAGAAAACCACCAAACUCCUAAGCUAAUAGAAUUUUCAUUAGCUGACUUGAGUACAAUAUUUACCCAGCGACCAGGUGCACAAGCAAUAAGGUUUGAAACAAAAAUUACCUCUCUUGAAGUUACAGGAGUGUCUCAAGAAAAGUGUACACCCCGUCUCCUGUCUUCUCGAACAGUCUAUUCAGAUGACAGUACCUCACUUCUAAGCAUAAUGUUUGAGACUAACCCUUUGGAUGAGAAAGCAGAUCAGAGGAUUAGAAUAGAAUCACAACCACUAGAAAUAGUAUAUGAUGCAAUGACAGUAAAUAAUUUAGUGGAUUUCUUCAGACCUCCAAAAGAUGUGCAUUUAGAGCAAUUGACAUCAGCAACUCUGAUGAAACUUGAAGAAUUCCGUGAAAAAACAUCAACAGGUUUGUUGUAUAUUAUUGAAACCCAGAAAGUUCUUGACCUCAAAAUAAACCUCAUGGCUUCAUACAUCAUUGUUCCACAAAAGGGAUUCUAUGAUCAUACAUCGAAUUUGCUGCUUCUGGAUCUUGGUAGUUUUAAAAUGACAAGCAAACGGCGUUCUGAUUUAUCAGAAAUCAAAGUAGGACAAACCUCUAUUGAAGAUAUAAUGUCCAGAGCUUAUGACAGUUUUGAUGUCCAGCUCAGCAGCAUGCAGUUACUGUACAGCAAACAUGAUGAGAACUGGCGAGAAGCUCGGAAGCUGAAAAACUCAUCUCAGUGUAUCUUGCAGCCCUUGGAUGUAAAACUGGAAUUUAGCAGGGCUAUGGUUGUUACAGAUGCAAGAAUGCCCAGGUUCAAACUGUCAGGACAGUUGCCUUUGCUUUCUAUCCAAAUAUCAGACCAGAAGGUGACAAGUAUCUUGGAACUAAUUGAUAGCAUUCCUACACCAGAAAGUGCACCUGCUACCAGUUCUCCUCCAAAAGUGACCGAGGCUACAGUGUCCCCUGUGCUUGCAGGGCCACGUUUAUCUCAAGGCGUGUGUCCUGUUUUGGAUCUUCACUCAUUUGCUGAGUCAGAAUCAGAAGAAGAAUUUUAUGAUGCUCUAAGCAGUCCUGUGGAAGAUGUGCCAUUUUUUGAAGUCUCAUCUGAUUCCCUCAAGCAGGCUGUCAGUACAAGGCGAAACAACCUACAAAAACAAGAAUCUCUGAAAAAUAUGACAGAUUUCCAGCUAAAGUUUGAAGUAGCUGAGGUCUUAAUUAAAUUAUGCCGUCUUACUGGUGAUACUGAGAUGCCUGUGCUCCAGCUUGAUAUUUUGGGCUUAGGUACUGAACUUAAAAUGAGAACAUUUGACAUGACUGGGAGUGCUUUCCUUCGUGAAGUUGGUCUUCUGUGCCCAGAGUAUAUUGAUGAUAAUGGCAAGCCAGUUUACAUAAUUACUACAUUGGAUAAUGUAGAAGAUGAUCUUCUCACUCUGGAGUAUACAAAGACUGAUAUUAAGGGACCAGAACUGAAAACUGUCUGUCAGAAUGUUCUACAGAAAAUAAAGGUGAACUUUUCUUCUCUAGAUGUUCAUUUGCAUACUGAAGCUCUGCUGAAUGCUAUGAACUAUCUGAACAAUCUUCUGCCUAAACAAGGACCUAAAGUUGUGGAAGAACCAGUCCAUGAGAAAACAGAGGAGAAGAAGGAUGUUCUCAAAAAAUUAACAUCAAAAAAAUCGAAGUGUGAAGAUGUUAUUGACCUCAUUAUCUGUGCGGAUUUAUCAUGUUUGCGUAUUUUUAUCAGAGAGAAAAACCAUAGAAUAGCUGAAAUUCACAUUGAAGGUCUGGACAGCCAAGUGAUCAUGAAGAAAGCAGCAACUAAUGUGACUGCAAAAUUGAAGAACAUCAGUAUUGUGGAUUCUGAUGAGAAAGCAUUAUAUAAAAAGGCUCUUUACAUCACAGAAAAAGAAGUCUUCAACUUCAGAAUGGUAUCAUAUGUAAAUGCUACAGAUGGCAUUGCAUAUACAAAUAUGGAUGUUGUUGACAAUCGUAUUUACCUAACUGUUGGGUGUAUUCAAGUAGUUUUUGUCAACAAGUUUGUUUCAUCUGUUUUGGCUUUUGUAAAUAACUUUCAAGCUGCCAAGGAAGCCCUUACUGAGGCAACUGUUCGAACAGCAGAGAAAGCAGCUACAGGUGUAAAAGAGUUAGCAGAGCGUAGUUCCCGUUUGGCGCUGGAUAUCAAUAUCAAGGCACCUGUUGUGAUAAUUCCACAGUCAGCAAUGUCUGCAAAUGUCCUGGUGGCUGAUCUUGGUCUAAUCACUGUGAAGAACCAAUUCGUUAUUGCUAAAACAAAAACAUGGUGUAGUCUUCCACCUGUUAUUGACUCUAUGACAGUGAAAUUGAGUGAACUGAAGUUAUACAGAUCUUAUUAUGAGCAAGAUUCUUUGCAAACUGAAGUACAGUUGCUGCAGCCAGUCAAUCUGGAAGUAGCUGUUGAAAGAAAUUUAGCUGCUGCAUGGUAUAAUGAAGUUCCUGAUAUUGAAAUAUCUGGCCGACUUAAGCCUAUGAAUCUCAUUCUCAGUCAGGAAGAUAUUACCACAAUACUGAGGACACUAAAUGAAAAUGCAGGUGAAAGCUCUGGUGCAUCAGCAGCUUUACCAGAAUCUAAAGCAUCAACUAGUCAUUCUAGUGAAAUGCAAGGUACUUCUCAGCACUCUGCAGGUGUAACUGUCGUGACAUCAGCUGUGGUGGAAUUGCAUUCACCUAUGAAAAUAAAAACAACACUAAAACUGGACUUCAAAUUUGACUCUCUCACUUUAGUCUUAUAUAGUCCAAAUUCAAAACAGGUUAACAGUUUGGAUCAGAGAGAUGACCUUUUGAAGCUUGCAGAGUUUAAAUUAGGUCUUAUGUCAGCUGCUGUGAAAAUGUUAUCAGAUGGUUCAAUGAAUGCUUCAGUCAAACUGGCAAACUGUACAUUAGAUGAUAAAAGACAGUCGAUCCAGAAGGCUACACCAAGAAUGGUGGAAAUGAAACAUGGAUUUGAAAAGAAAUUUAUGGUGGAUGUAAACUACAAACAUGGGAGAGAUGGCACUGUUCUUGAUGUUAUUGUUCAAGAGAUAUACCUUUGUGCAAGCAUGGAGUUUCUACUUACUGUAGCAGAUAUAUUUCUAAAGGCUAAUGCAGAAAGUGCUGCUGCACAGAGAAAUCUCAAACAGUCAUUACCUGUAAAGGACCAAGCAUCUGUGCAGCCUGUAUCUACAAUGGAAAUGAACAUUGUUGUUAAAAAUCCAGAGAUUGUGUUUGUGGCUGAUUUAACAAGAAGUGAUGCUCCUGCAUUGGUGGUUACAACACAGUGUGAGGUCUUCAUUAAAAAUAGCCCUGAAAGGUACAACAUGACAGCUGCUGUUAGAGAAAUGCAGAUGAAAGCAUGCCCAUUUCUUCCAGAAGAAAGGAAAGGGAACAUUACUACGGUAUUGCAACCUUGUGACUUCUUCUUUGAAAUGAGACAGUCAGGUACUAAUCCACAGACAGCUGAUCUAACCAUUAAAUCUCUAACAAUAGAAGUUUCACCAAUAAUCAUAAACACAGUAAUUACUAUUACAUCAGCCCUUUAUCAAACUACAGAAACAACAAAAGAAGAGAUUAGUCAAAUUCCUCCUGACUUGUGGAAUAAGAAAGAUAUAAAAGAUCUGAAAAUGUGGUUUCUUGAAGAGACUAAUGAAAAUGAAGAUAAAAAUCCAAACACUGAACUGGUUCCCACAGGAGAGUCAUUGAAAAUUAAUAUAGAAUCUGUUUUUAUAACACUUGAAGCUGGGGUUGGGCACAGAACAGUGCCAAUGCUUUUAGCCAAGUCCUCAUUUGUUGGAGAAGUCAAGAACUGGAGUACUUUAAUCAACCUAAAUUCUCGUCUUGAGCUAGAGGUACAUUAUUUUAAUGAGAUGUUUGGCGUGUGGGAACCUUUGCUUGAACCAUUAGAAGUUGAGAAAACUGACUUAUUUAAGCCAUGGACUCUUGAAAUCAAGAUGAAGAAGGCUAAAAAAGCACUGUUUGAAUCAGAUGAGGAGGAAGAGGAGAACUACAAAGUUCCAGAAUAUAAAACAGUAAUAAAUGUUUCCUCAAAAGACCAGCUUAACAUUACACUGUCCAAGCUAGGACUGCAAAUGCUGAGUAACUUGGGCACGGCAUUUGCUGAAGCAGCUAGUCAAACUUCAGACAUCUUCAAAAAAGAUCGAGCACCAUUUGUAAUAAUAAAUUCUUUAGGAGUUCCCAUCACGGUCUCGCCUAGUGACUCCUUUAGUGUCCUUAAUGUUGAAUUUCGUGCAAAAAUAUUUCAUUUAGAAGACAAAGCAAGUUUAAAUAUGGAUUUUGUCAGAAGUAGAAAUGAGAGUGACCAGUUCACAGCAAUGACAACACUGAGUAGCAAGAGAUUUUACAUUCAGAUAUGUCCUCAUAAUCAUUCUGCUGUGGAAAAGAUUCCUUUGACUAAAGUGGGUCGAUGUAUUUACAAAGUGAGACACAAGGAAUCAGGUGUUGAAAGGUCCAUCGUCAGUCAAAUUGACACUGUUGAAGGAAGCAAGAUGAUAACUAUACGUUCCCCUAUUCAGAUAAGAAAUCACUUUGCAAUCCCGUUAAAUGUUUUUGAAGAAGGAAGAUGUUUAGGGACUGCUUCACCAGCAAAUGAAUUCAACAUCCCCUUUUCCUCUUACAGAUCCAUGCUGAGUUUCCAACCGCUAGCCAAUGAAAAUGGAGUGGGUGCAGAAUAUGAUGUGUGUGAAGGAAUUACUUUUGAUGAAAUUAUGAAAAAUGUUGACAGUUUGAUACAAAGGAAAUGCCAAUCUGUGAGGUCAACUAACCACUCACUUAUCAUCAAUAUUGUUCCUGUAAAAGAUGCAUUGACAACUUCAUUAGAUGGAGAAGAUGAAUGGGAUUUUCCAUAUGUUGUUCAUUUAUGGCCUUCUGUUCUUCUCCGCAAUCUUCUUCCUUACCAAAUAACUUAUUCUGUAGAGGGAAAUGGGAACAAAUAUGACACUCUGCAAGAAGGAUGUUCUGCCCAGAUUCAUAAUGCAGUCUUGGACCAAACAAAACUAGAUUUGCAGUUGCUUAACUAUCUUGAUCAAGACUGGAGAAGCGAGUACCACAUAAAAAGCAAUCUGCCUGAUAUCACCUUCACAACAUUUCACUGCAUCACAGAGCUGGAUAAGACUGAGCUGGAUAUUGCUGUUCACGUGACCUACACAACUGGGCAGAUGAUCAUAGAAGUUCACAGUCCCUACUGGAUGGUGAAUAAAACCGGUCGAAUGCUACAAUACAAAGCGGAUGGUAUUCACCGCAAGCAUCCUCCAGAUUACAAAAAGCCCCUCCUUUUUUCUUUCCAGCCUAAAAACUUCCUUCAAAAUAACAAGGUGCAGCUUCGGGUAACUGACAGUGAGCUGUCUGAUCCGUUUUCACUGGACACUGUUGGAAGUCAUGGUUCUGUGAGAUGUAAGAGUCAUAAAAAGGAAUAUCAAGUUGGUGUCACCAUAAACAACAGCAGUUUCAAUAUUACUAGAAUUGUAACCUUCACUCCAUUUUUUAUGAUUUCAAAUAGAAGUAAAUAUACUUUGGAAGUAGCUGAAGAGGGCAAGGAAAAGUGGAUUCCCAUUGUUUUGCAACAGUGGUGUGAGAAACAAUGGGAAAGGGAACUUAGUGGCAUGUGCAUUCCCUUUUGGCCUGAAAAUGAUGCCAACAAACUGCUUGUUAGAGUUGAAAAUUCUGAUCUCCCUCCAAAGAAGAUAAAUUUUGAUCAGCAAGAAAACUGUCUUUUACUGCAUUUAGACAAUAAGCUUGGAGGAAUUGCAGUGGAUGUUAAUCUGACUGAACAUUCUACGGUGAUUACCUUUUCUAAUUACCAUGAUGGUGCAGCUCCAUUUCUGUUGAUAAACCAUACCAAAGAGGAGAUUAUUGAGUAUGGACAAAGCUCCCUCAGUGAAUUGGAAGACUGCCUUCAGCCAAAUAAGGCAGUAUUGUAUACCUGGGCAGAUCCAACAGGAUCUAAGAAAUUAAAAUGGAGAUGUGGAAAUAGAACUGAGGAAAUUGCCGCAAAAGAGGACAAAAUGGAAGUACUCAGUGUGGAUUCUAGAAAAGUGGUCUAUUUAAUGUCGUUUUAUGAAGGUUUGCAGCGUAUUGUCCUGUUCACUGAAGAUGAGAAUGUAUUUAAAUUGACAUAUGAAAGUGUAAAAGCAGAACUAGCAGAACAAGAAAUUAUUCUGUCUUUGCAAGAUGUUGGAAUUUCAUUGGUUAAUAAUUAUACAAAACAAGAGGUGUCCUACAUUGGAAUUACAAGUUCUGAUGUGGUGUGGGAGACAAAACCCAAGAAGAAGUCAAGAUGGAGACCAAUGAGUGUUAAGCAAAUUGAUAAAUUAGAACAAGAAUUCAGAGAUUACAGUGAGCUAAGUCCUUCAGAAAAUAAGAUUAUUGAGUUGGAAUCAAAUGUUUUGGUCUGUUUAACACCUAAUGGAAUGAACAUGACAAUUCAACAGCCAAAUGAGAUUCCUAUCAGAAGAAACUAUCUGCCAGCUUUAAAAGUGGAAUACAGUUCCUCUGCACAUCAGAAGUCUUUCAGAAUUCAGAUUUACAGGAUACAAAUACAAAACCAGAUUCCUGGAGCCAUAUUUCCCUUUGUGUUCUAUCCUAUUAAACCUCCAAAGUCCAUCACCUUGGAUUCAGCACCAAAACCAUUUACUGAUGUCAGUAUUGUCAUGAGAACUGCAGGACACUCACAAAUAUCUCAUAUUAAAUAUUUCAAGGUUCUGAUUCAGGAGAUGGAUCUCAGAUUAGAUCUUGGCUUCCUGUAUGCAGUUGGUGAAUUCUUUACACAGACUGAUGUGCCGAGUGACCAAGAGCUACAACUUUUUGAAAAGGAUGUUGAAUCUCUUCAAGAAGAACUAAUGAGUGUUUCAUCAAUGGAUACGUCACAAAUCAGCUUGUAUGAAUACUUCCAUAUCUCUCCAAUUAAGUUACACUUGAGCUUUUCACUCAGUACGGGUGGAGAAGAUAGUAACAAAGAAGAAGGAAAGAAUGAAUUGAUACCAUUUAAGUCCUUGAAUCUCCUGCUGAAGAGUAUAGGGGCCACCCUUACAGAUGUACAAGAUAUUGUCUUUAAGCUGGCAUUCUUUGAGCUCAGAUAUCACUUCUGUACUACACAGCAGCUCCAAUCAUCAGUUGUAAGGCAUUAUUCAAAACAGGCUAUUAAACAGAUGUAUAUCCUUAUUCUUGGCCUUGAUGUGUUGGGUAAUCCAUUUGGAUUCAUAAGAGGCUUGUCUGAAGGAGUAGAAGCUUUUUUCUAUGAACCAUACCAGGGAGCCAUCCAGGGUCCUGAGGAAUUUAUAGAAGGAAUGGCACUAGGACUUAAAGCACUGGUAGGGGGAGCUGUUGGUGGAUUAGCAGGAGCUGCCUCAAGAAUCACAGGUGCUAUGGCAAAAGGAGUAGCUGCAAUAACUAUGGAUGAAGAUUACCAGCAAAAAAGGAGAGAAGCCAUGAAUAAACAACCCACUGGUCUGAGAGAGGGUAUCACUCGUGGUGGAAAAGGACUUGUUUCUGGUUUUGUCAGUGGCAUAACAGGAAUAGUUACAAAACCAAUAAGAGGAGCUCAGGAAGAAGGAGCAGCUGGUUUUUUCAAAGGCGUUGGAAAAGGCUUAGUUGGAGCAGUAGCUAGGCCCACUGGUGGAAUCAUAGAUAUGGCAAGCAGCACAUUUCAGGGUAUUAAAAAGGUUGCAGAUUCAUCAGAAGAUGUGAUAAGCCUGCGACCACCUCGCUUCUUUGGUGAAGAUGGAGUUAUUAGACCUUACAGAUUAAGAGAUGGAACUGGAAGUCAAAUGUUACAGAAAAUUGAAAAUGGAAGAUUUGCAAAACUCAGAUAUAUUGCACAUGCUAUGGUCAACAGUACAGAUCUGUUAAUGGUAACAAAAAGUGGUGUGUUAUUUGUGACAAAAGGGGCAUUUGGACAGCUGACAUGUGAAUGGCAAUACACUUAUGAUGAAUUUACCAAAGAACCAUUCAUCGUUGAUGGUCGAAGAUUGCGCAUUGAAGCCAAGAGAGCAUGAAAGGCAGAGCCAUAUUGGUUUGGAAUCCUCCAAACUGGAUUUCUGAAUGCAAGUGAACUUUUAAAGGAUGAAAUAAUUCUUAGCGUUUCUGCCAUUUCAGACAAUGCUGAAUAACAUAUCCAUCUUUACCCCUACACAGCAGUCAUUUCAGAAUUCAUUAACAUGUCUGCAGUAUGCUCUUUAUUGAAAUCUAUGGUUGAAAACCGUGUUUUGCAAAUAACUCCUUGCAUUUUUCUUUCUGAAGCUUAUGUUUCUGUUUUCAGUACCUAUGUCCGCUACUUGCAAGUCAGUAUUGGUGGAAUGUCCACUCAAGUAGUGACUUGAAGGAGAAUUACAAAUUAAAACCUUGGGGAGUAAUGGAUUUUGUUACCACAUGCAAAUUAUCUGCCUUCCAUUCCUACACAUGUUUUAUACACCCUUAUACAGGGACUCCAUGGUAAAAAGGGGAGUCUAUACUGCUGGACUGUUCACCCUACUGUGCUUUCAUGCAGAAAAUGAUCUCUCUCAGGGUAUGUGCAUGUGAUGCAAACAUACUCAGAUGAUUGGUACACGUGGCUGUUUGAACCAUUAUAGCUGCCUUGAUAGUAAAUAGCAUUGUAAUCUUAAAGUCUGAAGUAACUAACUUCAAUUUUGAAUUACUGUUUCGUUUUUUGGUUUUUUUUUUUUUAGGAACGAGUUAAGUCUGUCUUCCAUGCCAAAGAAUUUGGAAAAAUUAUUAAUUUUAGAAGUCCAGAGGAUGCUAAGUGGAUCCUUUCCAAACUAGAAGAAGUACGUGAGAAUCAGCCAAAAUUGUAAUGAAUGGAGAAGCACCAAGAUGAAGAACACUCAACAGAUGCCUUUUAAUUCCUCUUUCACAAGCAGAACUGUUUGAAUGUCAUCAACAAAAGCAAAAACAGGAAGGAGGGAAGAUUCAUCCAAUUAUUUAUUAUGGUCACAACAGUCUAUAUCAGAAAAGUAGAUGAUAUUAGAUUAAAAUUUACAUAAUCAUAAAAAAAUCUGCCAAGUUUUGUCUUGGUUUGCUUGAUUUUUUAAUGUAAGAAUUUCAGAAUUCAUUUUUUAUAUAAGCAGUAUUAUACUGCUUAUUAUGUACUAUAUAUAUAAGUGAGUUUGUCUUAACCUUUGAUACUGAAAUUGAACUCUGGAAUAAUUCUUAUGAUAUUAUUUGGAGCAAAUCUUGCAGUUUUGAUUUGAUUGUGAUAGUCAGUAGUUACUUUAUGUUUUGGUUUUAAUGUGACUUGAGGCUGUGUUGAAAUACAAAUUUCUCUGUCAAAGAAAUGUUAACAUAAUCACUAGUUUUACAAUUCAAAAUAUAAGAAGGAAUCAGAGAAUUUCAAUUUAAGUAAUGGGUGGCUGCUUAGUUGACAAUACUAGGGCUUUUUCUAAAUGAAUGGACCAGGUCACAGUUUAUAGUACAGUAUUGCUUUUAGUGUAAACUUUUUUUAUAUCCUACUCAAGGAAAUGUUGCAGCACCUCUGUCAAUUAUUGUAGAAAAUUUAACAGUUUACAAAAAUGCAUAUUGGGGAGAAUUAAUUCUGCACUAAAAAUAUUAAUAAAAGCCUAUUAUUUGUUAGCAAGAGUUAGUAACAGUCUUGCAACUCAAGAAGGAGUUUAUGGGGUUAUAAGUGCACUGUUGCAUACCAAAUAUAAAUGCCUUGAAUUACACAAUAUUGUGUGCUAAGUGAAAGACUAGUGGAGUCAAAUUUAUAUUAAAUAAUAAAUAUAAUAUGUCACAGUUGCUUUUAUUAACUUUUCUUACCCAAUGAAACUUCUUUGUUUCAUACCCAGACAGCAGCAUUUUAUUAGCUUGAAUGUCUGCAAUUCUGUUUAUUUCUUAGAUGUAGUAGUCAUGGUAUUGUUGAAUGGCUGUUUACUGCAGUUGAUACAAAAACUACAUGAAACAAUACAGUGUUACAUGAAGGUUUCCAUAAAUUCCCAUAGCAAAGUCUUCAAAAUUUCUUAUACAUAUAGAAAGCACCUACUGCCAAAAUAUGAUUUUCAAACAAUAGUUUGGAAUAUUUAUAGCUACAGGAUAGAAUUCUAACAUUGCUGGUGAUGCUUGAAGUAUCCAAAUUGUGCUGUUAUUUUAAAUCUAAAACAACUAGCAUAUAACCUAUAUUUGCAGAUAUUUAAUUUGCUGUAAGUCUUGCCAGUGCUGUUGAGUAACCAUUUAGCAGAUUACAAAAUACAGGUAAUCUUGCAAUUUUCCCCAUAAACUGUAAAUGAAAUCAAAAUAUUAUAAGGGGAUUCAAAACUAUUACAUUGAUGGUAUUACUCCAAUAAUUUUGUAUACCAAGUACAUACCAAGAGUAUUAACUCAGGUUAUAUAAUGCCAAACUUCCAUCCUUUGCCUUAGAUAAGUAGUGGUUUUAGGUGCACUGUAGCAGCCACACAACACCUGCAUUUUUAGUGCACUGAGUACCAUUCUUUAUCUGUCUCUUGUUUUUCAUCUGUCAUUUCUGUCUUAGGCAUGAUAGUUCAUUUAAUAGCCUCAUAAUGUUCUUGGUAAAGUGUGUGGUCUCCUCUGUGUCCCCAGAAUUUACAGACUACCUGCUGUAAAUUUCACUUAAAAUGCAUCGUGUGUGUACUUUGUACAUUCCCAUUUGUGUAUACCUUUUCCAUUUACCUGAUUCUAAAUAUGUUCUCUCCACAGAGCCUCUAUUUUAAUUAUUUCUUGAAUUCAUUUUGCCAAAAAACUGAUUCUCAAAUCUCAGUUGGCUCUUUGGUAGUAUUUAAGCAAAUUAACCCUUAAUGUUGAAGGAUUUCUAUUAAAGGUGCAUAUUUUUGCGGUUAAGCAGCUGAUGUUUUGGAUAACAUAACAAUUCCCCCAGAAUGGCAUUUUUAUUAUAGACAAUAAAAUAUUUUGAUCUUCUAGCUAAAGGCCUUAAGACAGGAUCCACAAGUCAAUGUGGGACAUCUCUUCCAUGUCCCUUGGUUUCCACAUGUAAUGAAAAUAUGCUUUUCUAUAGAUCUCUUUCCUAGUCCAUAAUUUUUGUCUUUUGACUUUGUUUUUUUAAUAAAGCUUUCUCCAUAUAGUCAUGAAAGAAUUUUACCAUUUCUUGGCAAAUGCCAGUUUUCUCCUUUAACUAUGUGUUACCCCAGGGUGAAGAGAAAGGUAUUUAGACUUGUGCUUGUGCCAUUUUUCCUGAUUACUGCAGGUUGUAUGAGAUGUCUACUCUGCUGUGCCUCAUUUCUUAUUGCAAUAUGCAUAUUUUUUUCAACAAGAAGGCUGAAUAGGUAUGUUAAUUUUUAUUGAAAGUGUAUAUGCAACUAGAAAAGGGGAUCUCGAUAAACGUUAAAAUGUAGGCGUUUGGAUCUGCCCACUGUGGUGUUUAAAAGUGUAUCUUGACCUUUACUGAAAUGCUGAAGAACUGCUCCUCUUCUAUAUGACUGUUAUGUAAACUUACAACAUUUGAGAAAUAUCAUUUGGGUUCUCAGUUUGCUAAGUGUUACAAUUACCUCUAAGAAAUUGCUGAAACAUUCGCAAGUCUGAUUGUUGCACUUCCUUUUUGUUCAGCUGCAUGGCUUCAUGGCAUGGCUCUCUUGGUUUCCAACCUACCCUGCCCCCCCUUCUUAAUCUUGAAUAAAGUGAAACUGAAUUUUA
This is a non-coding RNA of Taeniopygia guttata (zebra finch), 13225 nucleotides long. The record is from RefSeq and is a predicted model, not a curated record. NCBI's taxonomy places the organism in Eukaryota, Metazoa, Chordata, Aves, Passeriformes, Estrildidae.